GCAACUCGACUACAUGAAGCUGGAAUCGCUAGUAAUCGCGAAUCAGCAUGUCGCGGUGAAUACGUUCCCGGGUCUUGUACACACCGCCCGUCACACCAUGGGAGUUGGUAACGCCCGAAGCCAGUGACCCAACCGGAAACGAAGGGAGCUGUCGAAGGUGGGACCGAUAACUGGGGUGAAGUCGUAACAAGGUAAC
Molecule: ribosomal RNA, 196 nt
Filed under: uncultured bacterium
Lineage: Bacteria
Description: partial 16S ribosomal RNA
Rfam family: Bacterial small subunit ribosomal RNA
Source: RNAcentral